Non-coding RNA from Orycteropus afer afer, 71 nucleotides. Lineage: Eukaryota; Metazoa; Chordata; Mammalia; Tubulidentata; Orycteropodidae. The record is from the annotation of a RefSeq genome assembly.
GCAGUGGUGGUUCAGUGGUAGAAUCCUUGCCUUCCAUGCAAGAGAUCUGGGUUCUAUUCCCAGCCAGUGCG